Molecule: long non-coding RNA, 2019 nt
Organism: Esox lucius (northern pike)
Lineage: Eukaryota; Metazoa; Chordata; Actinopteri; Esociformes; Esocidae
Source: Ensembl
CAGAUCACCUAGUAUGACCACACUCCGAGUAAUCAUAGAAUCUAGGUACGACAGAUCACCUAGUAUGACCACACUCCGAGUAAUCAUAGAAUCUAGGUACGACAGAUCACCUAGUAUGACCACACUCUGAGUAAUCAAAGAACCUAGGUACGACAGAUCACCUAGUAUGACCACACUCUGAGUAAUCAAAGAACCUAGGUACGACAGGCGUCUUUGUAGCUUCUUCACUGGCCACUCCCCCUACUCAAAUUACUCACACAUUGAACACAGAACAGAUGCCAAGUCAUUCCCUCGUCAAGCGAAGAUCUCUUCAACAGAUAAACAGAGGACCCUAUGGUCUGUUAAUUACUCAUUUACCUAGGUCACAGCCUACUAAAUGAAACCACCAUAGAAAUGAAUAUUAACACAAAAACUGCCAAAGUCAUAUAAAAUGAUAAUAACAUCAAAACAUCACAUAUUGCUUCUCAAUUCAAAAUUUCUAUCACAGGUCCAAAUCCAGUUCCACCAAACACUGCCCAACUGUCUUAUGUCAACAAUACAUAGGUUUCACCCACAGGGCGGGCUGUCUCCCCCACCUUAAAUCUAUGUUGUCACUAUUCUAUUACAGUUUACAGCCGUUCCAAUCUAUUUAGGCAACAGAAGCAGAAAGACAUUGAAUAUUCAGGAAGACAAGUUUAAGUGUUUGGUAGGACUGUGUUCUAAUGCAUUAACAAUGAGCAACAAACUAAGGUAAUGGAGAUAUUUCAGAUGGUAUACUGUGCAGUUACAACUAAUCUUCUCAAGGAGAAUUUACUGACAGGUACAGGACACUUGAAAGCAGUUCAGCCAGAGGUGUUUCUAGGACCACAAUACACUGUCAUAAUGCGCCACCGGAAUUACAGAUGUAUAGAUAAGGGGCUAUUUUUGAGAUCUGGGAAAAUUCAUAAAAGAACUGGCGUUAUAGCCCUGGACGCCCAUGCCUAACGACGCCACUGGGUUCAGCGAUAAAGGCUGAUUAGAGCAGAGAGACUGAAUUUGGCUUAGAGAACAUGGCCACUGCAAGAGGAUUCUACUCUUGGGUUACAGCGAGUCUCCAGUAAUGCUUGGUUCCUGACAGCUGGACUAAUUCUUGAGAUAAAGAGGGCUACCUCCAAGGAAAGCUCUGGUUCUGAACAACAUUUACUGAGGUGUAAGGCCUACUGCUUGACAUCAUGCCACGCUGGUUGGGUCCCUAUCUAGUUCGACCCAUAACGCAGUCUGCUGUCAAAGUAAGCUAAGAGAGAAACCUGGUGAUGAUUAUGGAAGUACAUCUUACUGAAACCAUAAGGAGACUUUUUAGUGAAUCAAACCAUUGUUAUAUGAGGACCCAGAGAGGGGGAUCUGGUCUCUGUUUAUGUUUAUCAUUGAGUGGUAUCAGUAGAUCAGUUUUCCGUCAGUCUCUUCAUCUGUUUAAACUAUCAGUUUAUCUGUUCUUUGUCCAGAUGGUUAAUGGGCCUUCUGUCUGCAGUGUCUUUAGCCCCUUGGGGGAAGGAGGGGCAAUUUGCUCAUUUGGGUAAACACUGAAGACAGGAUAGAGAAAGACACAACCGGGGGCGGGAAGGGAUAAUGAACAUGACAUUGUCUAACAGGAUGAAUGUGCCGAUUCCUACCCCCCCCCCCCCCCCUUCACUAUAAAAGUACUGAAGAUUAUGCAUCUACCAUCACAGUCUGGAAUUGGACUCUUGUUGUUCUGGCCUCGGUCUUGUGGUGUCAUUUUCAAAAGUCAAUACAGUUUACAAAAAUUGACAGGUAAGACAGAGGAAAACUCUACUGCACAAUCAACAGAUUUACUACUUUCUAGGAGAGAGUACACAGUCACAAACGUAAACAUGGAGAGACUCUCACGUAACACAGAACAAUCUUCAGUACUUUUACAGUGAGGGGGGGGGUAGGAAUCUGCACAUGACCACCAGUCGUACAGGAUAAUUGUGUUCAUGUUACGGAAGAAUGGUACACUGAUCAGCCAUAACAUUAUGACCACUGACAGGUGAAGUGAAUUAC